Molecule: long non-coding RNA, 569 nt
Organism: Saccostrea cuccullata (small rock oyster)
Lineage: Eukaryota; Metazoa; Mollusca; Bivalvia; Ostreida; Ostreidae
Exons: 3
Source: RefSeq, a predicted model, not a curated record
CCCUAGAUGCAUCAUCCAUGCAAGUUUGAUUCAGGAAGGGCUUAUAGGCUUAUAGUUCCUUGGGAAUAGACCUGCUCCAAAAACUUUAACCUGGUCACUCAUCUGGAAAAUGUAGGUCAGAUCCAGCAUCCGAAGCAAGUCUGGUAGUGUACAUUCAUAGAUGCAUCAUCCAUGCAAGUUUAGUCUGGGUAGGGCUUAUAAUUCCUUGGGAAUGGACCUGCUCCAAAACUUUAACCUGGUCACUCAUCUGGAAAAUGUAGGUCGGAUCCAGCAUCCGAAGCAAGUCUGGUAGUGUACAUUCCUAGAUGCAUCAUCCAUGCAAGUUUGGUUCAGAUAGGGCUAAUAGUUACUUGGGAAUGGACUUGCUCCUAAAACUUUAACCUGGGACGCCGACGCCAACGCCGGGGGUAUAGCAUAAGCUCAUCUCGACUUCGUCGAGGGCUUAUAGUUCCUGAGGAAUGGACCUGCUCCAAAAACUUUAACCUGGUCACUCAUCUAGACAAUGUAGAUCAGAUCCAGCAUCCAAAGCAAGUCUGGUAGUGUACAUCCCUAGAUGCAUCAUCCAUGCA